RNAcentral lists this ribosomal RNA (301 nucleotides) under uncultured bacterium. Its description in RNAcentral is "partial 16S ribosomal RNA". It matches the Rfam family "Bacterial small subunit ribosomal RNA", at positions 509 to 807 of the family's 1533-position model. The record is from RNAcentral.
CAGCCGCCACGGGAAUACGGAGGGUGCAAGCGUUAAUCGGAAUUACUGGGCGUAAAGCGCACGCAGGCGGUCUGUCAAGUCGGAUGUGAAAUCCCCGGGCUCAACCUGGGAACUGCAUUCGAAACUGGCAGGCUAGAGUCUUGUAGAGGGGGGUAGAAUUCCAGGUGUAGCGGUGAAAUGCGUAGAGAUCUGGAGGAAUACCGGUGGCGAAGGCGGCCCCCUGGACAAAGACUGACGCUCAGGUGCGAAAGCGUGGGGAGCAAACAGGAUUAGAUACCCCUGUAGUCCCUGUCUCUUAUAC